Pieris napi is the source of this 309-nucleotide long non-coding RNA. RefSeq lists it as uncharacterized. Lineage: Eukaryota; Metazoa; Arthropoda; Insecta; Lepidoptera; Pieridae. The record is from RefSeq and is a predicted model, not a curated record. The transcript is spliced from 2 exons.
GUUAGCGUUGCUUCAUUGUUAAAAAAUGAGUUCGUCAUUGUUAAUGGGGUUGCCUGUUUGCGUAACGCUAUUUUGACCUAAUGUUUUAUGGGAUUUUUUUUAGUAAUAACAACAUUGAUAAAAACGAUGUCAUUUGAUACAUUCUGUCAAGUUUGACAUCGAUGUUUAUUGUUUUGUACGAAAGGAUAAUUUUAAAAAGUGUUUAAUUUUAAUAUAAAUAAUGGGAACCUUUUCGCCAAAAGAACGUUCGGUAAAUUUUGGAAAAGAAGAGAAGGACAGAUUUAGAAAUUUAAUAGAAAAACAUAAACA